AAAAUCUUAAAAUCUUGAAAAAAUAAGAUGAAAUCUGGAAAGGGUCAUCAUGUGGAAGAAGAAGAGGAUGAGUAUGAUUUUGGUUCUAAUAGAGAUGCCACACCUUCAAGUAAUAGUACUAAAGAUGGGAAGAACAGUGACAAGGCAAAUGCAAUUAGGUCGAAGCAUUCAGUAACUGAGCAGCGCCGGAGGAGCAAGAUCAAUGAG
This 207-nucleotide unclassified non-coding RNA is filed under the name Hevea brasiliensis (rubber tree). Lineage: Eukaryota; Viridiplantae; Streptophyta; Magnoliopsida; Malpighiales; Euphorbiaceae. The record is from RNAcentral.